AUACCUUUUUGGCCUUUUGAUUAAGAUCAAGUGUAGUAUUUAUUUUUAUCAGUUUAAUAUCUGAUAUGUGGGUCUAUGUGCCCACAAUGAUAUUAAAUUUAUUUUUUGUGGGGUUGAGUUCAUAAUAGUAGCUUGCUACUAGGGCCCACAUGUGUUGCACUAUGAGAGAAUUCCUUAUUUAACAGUCCAAAAACU
This is a non-coding RNA of Triticum urartu, 195 nucleotides long. The record is from Rfam. Lineage: Eukaryota; Viridiplantae; Streptophyta; Magnoliopsida; Poales; Poaceae.